AAAAUCAAUACUGUAUAUUAAUUAGCGAUCUUUCGGACGAGUCGAUUCUCUGCCCUUCUUUCGGAUUCAUCUUGACAAUUGCAAAGGUUUUGGACUCUGACCGAGCAAGAUUCAGAUGACCAAGGAGUGGACUCAUGAGCAGGAAAAGGAGAGCUGCAACGACUAGCGUCCGUGAGGGAAGAUCGAGGCGAGAGAUCUAAUCCCAUGAGCGGGGCCUUUGAUAGGUUAGGUUAGGUUAGGUUAGGGAAUAUUGAUAGAUUCCGAAUCUUAAGACGCCAUAUUGAAGAUCGACAUUGGUCGUCAAAGUACAAGGGCCUCUGCUAGGUUCAUUCUCGUUUUCAGAUCUGAGAUCUGCAUUUUGUUCUUGUGGCUCUGGCCUAAAAUUCUAGCCCAAGAACCGAUCUGAUAGACAUUCAUCCAGAGGGCCCCCUUUUUCAUUUUUCUAUCUUUCUUUUUUUCGUCAGCAGCAUUACAUUCAAAUACGUUUCGGACUCUCAUUCUCAGUCAGUAAUUUAGAUACUUUGAUUCCGUCCUGUAAGAUCUGACUCUUUUUAGUUUAUUCUUUAUUCUAUUUUUAGGACUGAUUACUGAUUUGUUUGUUUAUAUUCACGUAAAAACUCUUUAGUUCAUAUCAAUUUGUUUUACGUUGGCAUAUUUUUAGAAAGAAUUACAUACAAUAAAGACGAAAUUUUCUUAAAAGGAACUUUCUUUCUAUCGCUCACGUACUCAAGAAUUCUCGUCAUACCUGCUGUGUUUGUCAAUACUUUUUAAACAACAAUAGACAAAUAAUUUUUAUAUGUUUAAAGAAGAAGAAGAAAAACAAAGAAAACGUCAUUGACGUCCAACAUCGCCCAAUUCAUCAAGUUUUUCAUAAAGUAGCAAUGAUUCAAAUUCCAGUGAAUCAUUAUCGGAUAGUGAUUAAGUUUAGUGUUACCAUAUUACCAAUGUUAAAAUGAGUUAACCUUGUUAACGUUACCAUAACAUAUAUCUAAGUUGUCUAUGUUAUAUAUGCUAUUUAUUUUAUUAUAUUAUUAUAUUUGAUAUA
Molecule: long non-coding RNA, 1045 nt
Organism: Temnothorax curvispinosus
Lineage: Eukaryota; Metazoa; Arthropoda; Insecta; Hymenoptera; Formicidae
Exons: 2
Source: RefSeq, a predicted model, not a curated record